UACGGGGGGGGUAAGCGUUGUUCGGAAUUACUGGGCGUAAAGGGCUCGUAGGCGGCCAACUAAGUCAUACGUGAAAUCCCUCAGCUUAACUGGGGAACUGCGUGUGAUACUGGAUGGCUUGGAUUUGGGAGAGGGAUGCGGAAUUCCAGGUGUAGCGGUGAAAUGCGUAGAUAUCUGGAGGAACACCGGUGGCGAAGGCGGCAUCCUGGACCAAUAUUGACGCUCAUGCACGAAAGCGUGGGGAGCGAACAGG
This 253-nucleotide ribosomal RNA is filed under the name uncultured bacterium. RNAcentral describes it as "partial 16S ribosomal RNA". It matches the Rfam family "Bacterial small subunit ribosomal RNA", at positions 524 to 776 of the family's 1533-position model. The record is from RNAcentral.